This 253-nucleotide ribosomal RNA is filed under the name uncultured Eubacteriales bacterium. Its description in RNAcentral is "uncultured Clostridiales bacterium partial 16S ribosomal RNA". It matches the Rfam family "Bacterial small subunit ribosomal RNA", at positions 524 to 776 of the family's 1533-position model. Lineage: Bacteria; Bacillati; Bacillota; Clostridia; Eubacteriales. The record is from RNAcentral.
UACGGAGGAUGCGAGCGUUAUCCGGAUUUAUUGGGUGUAAAGGGUGCGUAGACGGGAAUUUAAGUUAGUUGUGAAAUCCCUCGGCUUAACUGAGGAACUGCAACUAAAACUGAAUUUCUUGAGUGCGGGAGAGGAAAGUGGAAUUCCUAGUGUAGCGGUGAAAUGCGUAGAUAUUAGGAAGAACACCGGUGGCGAAGGCGACUUUCUGGACUGUAACUGACGCUGAGGCACGAAAGCGUGGGGAUCAAACAGG